GAAUGGCCGUUCACUCGUUCUCCAUUGGUGUCGAUCACAACUCCCCAGAUGUUGUGGCUGCUAGAAAAGUUGCAAAGUUUAUUGGAACUACUCAUCAUGAGUUCUAUUUCAGCAUUGAGG
Molecule: small RNA, 120 nt
Filed under: Caenorhabditis elegans
Lineage: Eukaryota; Metazoa; Nematoda; Chromadorea; Rhabditida; Rhabditidae
Description: Unclassified non-coding RNA M02D8.12
Source: RNAcentral